AGAGUUUGAUCCUGGCUCAGAUUGAACGCUGGCGGUAUGCUUUACACAUGCAAGUCGAACGGCAGCAUAGGUGCUUGCACUGAUGGCGAGUGGCGAACGGGUGAGUAAUGCAUCGGAACGUGCCCAGUCGUGGGGGAUAACGCAGCGAAAGCUGUGCUAAUACCGCAUACGAUCUAUGGAUGAAAGCGGGGGACCUUCGGGCCUCGCGCGAUUGGAGCGGCCGAUGUUAGAUUAGGUAGUUGGUGGGGUAAAGGCUCACCAAGCCGACGAUCUAUAGCUGGUCUGAGAGGACGACCAGCCACACUGGAACUGAGACACGGUCCAGACUCCUACGGGAGGCAGCAGUGGGGAAUUUUGGACAAUGGGCGAAAGCCUGAUCCAGCAAUACCGCGUGCAGGAAGAAGGCCCUCGGGUUGUAAACUGCUUUUGUACGGAACGAAACGGCGCGCUCUAAUAAAGUGCGCUAAUGACGGUACCGUAAGAAUAAGCACCGGCUAACUACGUGCCAGCAGCCGCGGUAAUACGUAGGGUGCAAGCGUUAAUCGGAAUUACUGGGCGUAAAGCGUGCGCAGGCGGUUUUGUAAGACAGGCGUGAAAUCCCCGGGCUUAACCUGGGAAUUGCGCUUGUGACUGCAAGGCUAGAGUACGGUAGAGGGGGGUAGAAUUCCGCGUGUAGCAGUGAAAUGCGUAGAUAUGCGGAGGAACACCGAUGGCGAAGGCAGCCCCCUGGACCUGUACUGACGCUCAUGCACGAAAGCGUGGGGAGCAAACAGGAUUAGAUACCCUGGUAGUCCACGCCCUAAACGAUGUCAACUGGUUGUUGGGAAUUUACUUUCUCAGUAACGAAGCUAACGCGUGAAGUUGACCGCCUGGGGAGUACGGCCGCAAGGUUGAAACUUAAAGGAAUUGACGG
This 913-nucleotide ribosomal RNA is filed under the name uncultured marine bacterium. Its description in RNAcentral is "bacterial SSU rRNA". It matches the Rfam family "Bacterial small subunit ribosomal RNA", at positions 8 to 916 of the family's 1533-position model. The record is from RNAcentral.